UUAUGUAAACUAAUGUCAAAAACAUAAACAAUGACUUAUAAAACCCGCCGUUUGGCAUGCAUGAUUUUUAAAACCCGCCAAACAAAUCGCAGCAAACUGGUUGUUGCUCAGGGGAAAUGUCCUUGUCAAAAAAUUUCUGUUUUCUUUUGAAACGGUGGUGAUUUUUCGGUGGCACAGUUAUUCUAAAUUUCCUGAUUCUCUAAAUUGAAAAAUGCUUAGUUUUCUGGAUAUUAAACGCGAUAAAUGGAGCAGGAUCAUAAAUAUAUUUAGACUCCGCGAAGCCUGGUGGUCCCCAAGAAAAGAUCACCCUAACAACUUAUGCUAAGGGUGCACACUGGCUGCUGUUUUGAUAUCUUGAUUCGUUCAGCCUCUGACGAAAUACUACCUCCUUUGGCUCGAGUCGGUCCCACUGUACGUGUCCAUUUGUUUUGUUUUGUGCAUAACAAAUUUAUGCUAAUUACGCCUGGGUCUCUCUUGUGAAGAGCCACUGACCUGGUCGGUCAUCAGUCGUCGAGAUGAUUUUGCUAGUGGCAGCGGAGACCUUGAUGAAGUACCCAGCAGCGAGAGGUUGCCACCGGCAGCUAGGGCAAAUCGCCGUUGGACGCGCCUCACUAAUUUGGCUUCCGGGAGGGACAUCUCAGGAAGAAUUAGAAUUUGUUAUGUUUCAAGUUAUCGGCUUUAGUAGAUAGGCCAUUGAUUACGGUAUUGGAAUCUGAAUUCACCGAUCUGUACUAUUUGUGACAGAUUUAAGUUGGUUUAAGUAAAAUAAAUUCAAUUGAAUAAUGAGUUCAAUAAUUAGAAAUUAAAUUGCGUGUAGAA
Culex pipiens pallens (northern house mosquito) is the source of this 819-nucleotide long non-coding RNA. RefSeq lists it as uncharacterized. The transcript has 3 exons. The record is from RefSeq and is a predicted model, not a curated record. NCBI's taxonomy places the organism in Eukaryota, Metazoa, Arthropoda, Insecta, Diptera, Culicidae.